Molecule: ribosomal RNA, 398 nt
Filed under: uncultured bacterium
Lineage: Bacteria
Description: bacterial SSU rRNA
Rfam family: Bacterial small subunit ribosomal RNA
Source: RNAcentral
AAUCAACGCUGGCGGCGUGCCUAACACAUGCAAGUCGAACGAGAAAGUGGAGCAAUCCAUGAGUAAAGUGGCGCACGGGUGAGUAACACGUGACUAACCUACCCUUGAGUGGGGGAUAACCUAGGGAAACCUGGGCUAAUACCGCAUAAUACCUACGGGUCAAAGGAGCAAUUCGCUUUAGGAGGGGGUCGCGGCAGAUUAGUUAGUUGGCGGGGUAAUGGCCCACCAAGACGAUGAUCNGUAUCCGGCCUGAGAGGGCGCACGGACACACUGGAACUGAAACACGGUCCAGACUCCUACGGGAGGCAGCAGUGGGGAAUUUUGCGCAAUGGGGGAACCCUGACGCAGCAACGCCGCGUGGAGGAUGAAGACCCUUGGGUCGUAAACUCCUUUCGAUC